GGGCCCGCACAAGCGGUGGAGCAUGUGGCUUAAUUCGAGGCAACGCGAAGAACCUUACCUGGUCUUGACAUGCCCGUCAUAGUUUUCCGAAAGGAAUUCGUCAGUUCGGCUGGACGGUGCACAGGUGCUGCAUGGCUGUCGUCAGCUCGUGUCGUGAGAUGUUCGGUUAAGUCCGGCAACGAGCGCAACCCUCGUUUCCAGUUGCCAGCGGGUAAUGCCGGGGACUCUGGAAAGACAAACCUCUUGUUGAGGUGGGAAGGUGGGGACGACGUCAAGUCAGUAUGGCCCUUACGACCAGGGCUGCACACGUGCUACAAUGCCCGGUACAAUGGGAUGCAACACCGCGAGGUUGAGCAAAUCCACAAAGCCGGGCCCAGUUCGGAUUGGAGUCUGCAACUCGACUCCAUGAAGUUGGAAUUACUAGUAA
RNAcentral lists this ribosomal RNA (427 nucleotides) under uncultured bacterium. RNAcentral's name for it is "bacterial SSU rRNA". It matches the Rfam family "Bacterial small subunit ribosomal RNA", at positions 917 to 1341 of the family's 1533-position model. The record is from RNAcentral.